UGUUCCUACGGGGCGCAGCAGUAGGGAAUUUUCGUCAAUGGGCGCAAGCCUGAACGAGCAAUGCCGCGUGAACGAGGAAGGUCUUCGGAUCGUAAAGUUCUGUUGAAGGGGAAAAAGAGCGGAGAGAGGAAAUGAACUCCGAUUGAUAUUACCCUUCGAGGAAGUCACGGCUAACUACGUGCCAGCAGCCGCGGUAAUACGUGGGUGGCGAGCGUUAUCCGGAAUGAUUGGGCGUAAAGGGAGCGUAGGCGGCCUGCUAAGUCUGGAGUGACAGGUACCGGCUCAACCGGUACAGGCUCUGGAAA
Molecule: ribosomal RNA, 305 nt
Filed under: uncultured bacterium
Lineage: Bacteria
Description: bacterial SSU rRNA
Rfam family: Bacterial small subunit ribosomal RNA
Source: RNAcentral